This 253-nucleotide ribosomal RNA is filed under the name uncultured bacterium. RNAcentral describes it as "partial 16S ribosomal RNA". It matches the Rfam family "Bacterial small subunit ribosomal RNA", at positions 524 to 776 of the family's 1533-position model. The record is from RNAcentral.
UACAGAGGUCUCAAGCGUUGUUCGGAUUCAUUGGGCGUAAAGGGUGUGUAGGUGGCGCCGUAAGUCGGGUGUGAAAUUUCGGAGCUUAACUCCGAAACUGCAUUCGAUACUGCGGUGCUUGAGGACUGGAGAGGAGACUGGAAUUCAUGGUGUAGCAGUGAAAUGCGUAGAGAUCAUGAGGAAGACCAGAGGCGAAGGCGGCGCCCUGGCUCGCAACUGACGCUCAGACACGACAGCAUGGGGAGCGAACGGG